UUCACCAAAUUAAUGAAUGAGACGACAGGAUUUUCGAGAAAUAUCUCUUGUUGACUGAUUUAUUUAACAAGAUAACCGCCUUGAUUCAUUUAUCUCAGUCAAGGUCCUUGAAAUGAAUUCAUUAGCCCAACUGAGUGGUCGUCGUGGCUCGCAACUGAUUUCUUUAUUGAAGUCUAAAAACUCUCAUUAAGUGAUUAACGUAAACAUGAAAACAAAUUUUAAUAAAACAAAAAUAAUAUAGCUUGAUCCUGUUGUAAGAGACUUAUGAAUUUUCGAGAAAUUGGGGCCGGAAGGCGGAAUUUGGCUGAACUCACACCUGAAGGACCGCAUAUCAAGUUUAUGGAGAUGCUUUGGAAUCAUUUAAAAGUGUCACAAUAAUACAUCUGUGCAGAUGUAGCACAGAUGUAGUCAAUUCUAUCAACCCAUGUCUAUUAGCUGGAUUAUAUUCCAACUAUAUUUAUGGCGUUACAACUGCACUGAUAAUCAAACAAAAUGAGUGGAUAGAUGUCUGUAAGUCCAUGAACAUUCCAUGAAAGAACCGAAAGUUCACCUCCGUCGUGCCCCUAGCUCCUCACCGACUUGCCGUCUACGUACAGGG
Mya arenaria is the source of this 598-nucleotide long non-coding RNA. RefSeq lists it as uncharacterized. The transcript has 3 exons. NCBI's taxonomy places the organism in Eukaryota, Metazoa, Mollusca, Bivalvia, Myida, Myidae. The record is from RefSeq and is a predicted model, not a curated record.